Molecule: ribosomal RNA, 1353 nt
Filed under: uncultured bacterium
Lineage: Bacteria
Description: 16S ribosomal RNA
Rfam family: Bacterial small subunit ribosomal RNA
Source: RNAcentral
AGAGUUUGAUCCUGGCUCAGGACGAACGCUGGCGGCGUGCCUAACACAUGCAAGUCGAACGGAGUGAAGUGCUUCAGUAUUUCACUUAGUGGCGAACGGGUGAGUAACGCGUGAGGAACCUGCCUUUCAGUGGGGGACAACAGUUGGAAACGACUGCUAAUACCGCAUGAAACUUUCUGGGGACAUCCCUGGGAAGUCAAAGCUUUAUGUGCUGAAAGAUGGUCUCGCGUCUGAUUAGCUGGUUGGCGGGGUAACGGCCCACCAAGGCGACGAUCAGUAGCCGGUCUGAGAGGAUGAACGGCCACAUUGGGACUGAGAUACGGCCCAGACUCCUACGGGAGGCAGCAGUGGGGAAUAUUGGGCAAUGGGCGAAAGCCUGACCCAGCAACGCCGCGUGAAGGAAGAAGGCCUUCGGGUUGUAAACUUCUUUUAGCAGGGACGAAGGACGUGACGGUACCUGCAGAAAAAGCAACGGCUAACUACGUGCCAGCAGCCGCGGUAAUACGUAGGUUGCAAGCGUUGUCCGGAUUUACUGGGUGUAAAGGGCGUGUAGGCGGAGCUGCAAGUCAGAUGUGAAAUCCCGGGGCUCAACCCCGGAACUGCAUUUGAAACUGUAGCCCUUGAGUAUCGGAGAGGCAAGCGGAAUUCCUAGUGUAGCGGUGAAAUGCGUAGAUAUUAGGAGGAACACCAGUGGCGAAGGCGGCUUGCUGGACGACAACUGACGCUGAGGCGCGAAAGCGUGGGGAGCAUACAGUAUUAGAUACUCUGGUAGUCCACGCUGUAAACGAUGUAUACUAGGUAUGGGAGGACUGACCCAUUCCGUGCCGCAGUUAACACAAUAAGUAUUCCACCUGGGGAGUACGACCGCAAGGUUGAAACUCAAAGGAAUUGACGGGGGCCCGCACAAGCAGUGGAUUAUGUGGUUUAAUUCGACGCAACGCGCAGAACCUUACCAGGACUUGACAUCCCACUAACGAAGCAGAGAUGCAUUAGGUGCCCUUCGGGGAAAGUUGAGACAGCUGGUGCAUGGUAGUCGUCAGCUCGUCUCGUAAGAUGUUGGGUUAAGUCCUGCAACGAGCGCAACCCCUAUUGUUAGUUGCUACGAAAGAGCACUUUAGCGAGACUGCCGUUGACAACACCGGAGGAAGACGGGGACGACGUCAAAUCAUCAUGCCCCUUAUGUCCUGGGCUACACACGUAAUACAAUGCCGGUUAACAUGAGGGAAGCAAAGCCGUGAGGUGGAGCAAAUCCCUAAAAGCCGUCUCAGUUCGGAUUACAGGCAACUAAUCGCCGGCAUGAAGCUGGNAUUGCUAGUAAUCGCGGAUCAGCAUGCCUCGGUGNAUACGUUCCCG